AGGCCCCGCAGGCGCAGCAGAUCGGAGGAUGAGCGUUGUUGCUGGUGCUUCUCCUGUGACUGCGAUUAUAUCGAGAAACCCGAGCAGAAGUGCGGGUUCUGGGCAGUCUGCGUCUUCGUCUACUCCCUCGUCGACUACUUCAUCCCAAUCAGCCUGGUCUCGGUCCUCCUCUGGCUCGUCCUCCGCCCCAGCAACCUUCGGCCGCGGGUGGACGCCGCCGUCGCCGUCAGCUUCAGCCUCGACAACGCGACCUCGUCGCUCGACUACGACUUCGCCGUGGACCUGCGCUUCCGCAACCUGCACCGGCACCUCGACGUCCGGUACCUGGACCUGGUAGCGCUGGCGUCGUACGGCGGGGAACGGCUCGGCCCCAGCGCCGACGUGCUGCCCGUCUUCGUCCAGCGCCCCAUGGCGUCCAACGCUGUUCGCGCCAGCUUCCAGGGCAGCGCCGCUCCGCUGUCCCCGGCAGCAGCCGAGCUGUUCGCCAUGGAGGCCGCCAACGGCUCCUUCGGCGUCCUCGUGAAGGUCGCCUCGACGUUCAUGUACAAGUUCCCGUUCCAGAAGACGGUCUACUACCUCGACCAUGAGUGCUACAUCCGUUUCCCGGCGCCCAACGGCGGGGUGGUGACGCCGGGGACGCUUUGCAGCGCCACAGCGCGGAAAUAAUUGAGAGUUUCAACCAAACAGCAAAAUCCACAAGGAAUCUAUCACUUAACCACACGGCGAUGAUGGAUUACUCGCCGCCGCCCGUCGUCGAGGACGACGACAGCCCCAAGCUAGGCCCCAACUUCACGAUGCGCCAGUUUAAUCAUCAUCCUUGUACUGUUUGCAUCCAACUCUUGUUUGAGUAUAUGUUCAUGUACUCU
This 866-nucleotide unclassified non-coding RNA is filed under the name Zea mays. RNAcentral's name for it is "misc RNA Zm00001eb167170". Lineage: Eukaryota; Viridiplantae; Streptophyta; Magnoliopsida; Poales; Poaceae. The record is from RNAcentral.